This 465-nucleotide ribosomal RNA is filed under the name uncultured bacterium. Its description in RNAcentral is "partial 16S ribosomal RNA". It matches the Rfam family "Bacterial small subunit ribosomal RNA", at positions 28 to 507 of the family's 1533-position model. The record is from RNAcentral.
GACGAACGCUGGCGGCGUGCUUAACACAUGCAAGUCGAACGGAAAGGCCCCUUCGGGGGUACUCGAGUGGCGAACAGGUGAGUAACACGUGAGUAACCUGCCCUUGACUUCGGGAUAACUUCAGAAAACUGGGGCUAAUACCGGAUAGGAAUCCUUGCUGCAUGGUGGGGGUUGGAAAGCUUCGGCGGUUUUGGAUGGACUCGCGGCUUAUCAGCUUGUUGGUGGGGUAGUGGCUUACCAAGGCUUUGACGGGUAGCCGGCCUGAGAGGGCGACCGGCCACAUUGGGACUGAGAUACGGCCCAGACUCCUACGGGAGGCAGCAGUGGGGAAUAUUGCACAAUGGGCGGAAGCCUGAUGCAGCAACGCCGCGUGCGGGAUGACGGCCUUCGGGUUGUAAACCGCUUUCAGCAGGGGCGAAGCUUGUGGUGACGGUACCUGCAGAAGAAGCACCGGCUAACUACGUG